Molecule: ribosomal RNA, 960 nt
Filed under: Triticum aestivum (bread wheat)
Lineage: Eukaryota; Viridiplantae; Streptophyta; Magnoliopsida; Poales; Poaceae
Description: partial small subunit ribosomal RNA
Source: RNAcentral
AUGAAUCCGCACCACAGGAAGGUUCACUUGCCGGUGCCAUCUUUCGCCACAGCGACGCUGCUCCUGCUUCCCCUCGCGCUCCUCGCCGCCGUGCUCGUCGCCGUCUACCACAACGAGUUCGCCCUGCAGUCCUAUCUGGCCCGCCCCGCCUGCCCGAGCAACGCCAGCGACACCAGCCUCACGGGGCGGCACGUCGCCGUGCGGGUGGCCCCGGAUUUCCGGCUGCUCAUCGGCGUGCUGACGCUCCCGGGCCUGUACGAGCGGCGGCACCUGAUGCGCACGGUGUACGCGCUCCAGCAGCCGAACCUGACGGCGCACGUCGACGUCCGGUUCGUCUUCUGCCGGCUGGCCUCGGAGGAGCAGCGCGUGCUGGUGGCGCUGGAGGCGAUGCAGCACGGCGACGUGGUGGAGCUGGACUGCCCGGAGAACAUGGACAACGGCAAGACGCACGCCUACCUCUCCAGCGUCCCGGCGCUCUUCGGCGACCGGGCGUACGACUUCGUGAUGAAGACCGACGACGACACCUUCCUCCGCCUGCCGCAGCUGGUGGAGUCCCUGAACCGGGCGCCCAGGGAGGACCUGUACUACGGGUGCAUGGUGCCCUGCGACGUGGUCCGCGCGCAGGAGAACGAGUACAUGUCCGGCAUGGGGUAUGUCAUCUCGUGGGACCUCGUGGAGUGGAUCGUGGCGGCCGCGGAGCAGAUCAGGAACCACACGGUCGGGCCGGAGGACAGGCUGGUCUCCACGUGGUUCAGAGGUGCCGGGAAGGGCAAGAACCGGGUGGACACGAAGCCGGCCAUGUACGGCUUUCCGGAUCGCGCGGACCAUUGCGCGCACGAGCUCGUGCACGACACCAUCGCCGUGCACAAGCUCAAGAACAACGGGAGGUGGGCGACGACGCUCAAGUACUUCAACUUCACCGCGGGGCUCCAGCCGUCCAAGUUCACGAGCAUGGAUUGA